Molecule: non-coding RNA, 82 nt
Organism: Aspergillus piperis CBS 112811
Lineage: Eukaryota; Fungi; Ascomycota; Eurotiomycetes; Eurotiales; Aspergillaceae
Source: the annotation of a RefSeq genome assembly
GCACCGGUGGCUCAGUGGUAGAGCGUCGCACUCGUAAUUGGUUGGUAUGCGAAGGUCGUGGGUUCAAUCCCCAUCCGGUGCA